Molecule: small RNA, 359 nt
Filed under: Arabidopsis thaliana (thale cress)
Lineage: Eukaryota; Viridiplantae; Streptophyta; Magnoliopsida; Brassicales; Brassicaceae
Description: ATSL257840
Source: RNAcentral
UUGAAUCAAUUAUGAAAAUGCCAUUUUUCGGGAUGGCAUUUGUGUAUAUUGCCUUUUUUAGAAUAAUUUGUGGAUUUUGUCAUUUUUUAGGUUACAGAAAUAUGAUUUAACAUGCGUUUUAUUCAUUAUGUUUGGAUUUAGUCGGUUGUAGUUAUUCUUACGGUUUAGUAUUUUGUGUAAACUACGUAUUUUUACCAAAAAAAAAUCCGAAAUUCAUACAUUUUUAAGUCUUAGAAAAUGGCAUAUCCGUAAGAUUUUAGUAAAAAUGACAAUUUCAAAAGAUCUCUAUGAAAAAUGGCAAAAUUAACAAUAAUCCCUUAAUUAUUUACAAAACAUCUCAUGUGAUUAUUUAGUGUACU